GAUGAACGCUGGCGGCGUGCCUAAUACAUGCAAGUCGAACGCUUCACUUCGGUGAAGAGUGGCGAACGGGUGAGUAAUACAUAAGUAACCUGGCAUCUACAGGGGGAUAACUGAUGGAAACGUCAGCUAAGACCGCAUAGGUGUAGAGAUCGCAUGAACUCUAUAUGAAAAGUGCUACGGGACUGGUAGAUGAUGGACUUAUGGCGCAUUAGCUUGUUGGUAGGGUAACGGCCUACCAAGGCGACGAUGCGUAGCCGACCUGAGAGGGUGACCGGCCACACUGGGACUGAGACACGGCCCAGACUCCUACGGGAGGCAGCAGUAGGGAAUUUUCGGCAAUGGGGGAAACCCUGACCGAGCAACGCCGCGUGAAGGAAGAAGUAAUUCGUUAUGUAAACUUCUGUCAUAGAGGAAGAACGGUGGAUAUAGGGAAUGAUAUCCAAGUGACGGUACUCUAUAAGAAA
Molecule: ribosomal RNA, 464 nt
Filed under: uncultured bacterium
Lineage: Bacteria
Description: bacterial SSU rRNA
Rfam family: Bacterial small subunit ribosomal RNA
Source: RNAcentral